GAGGGGAGGGGGGGAACGCGGGUUGAUCAUCAUGACCUCUGGGAGAGAGGAGAGGUGGGCAGGGAGAGAGAGAGGGAGGGAGAAGGCCGGGCCGGGCCUUUUCCCUUGGACCCGCGGAAAGGGAAAGCCCUUUGAGGGAGGGAGGGAAGGGGAGGGCGCCGCCGCCGCCGCCGCCGCAGAGAUUAGGGCGCCAUCGGGCGCGCCCCGGCACCCGGACGGAGAGCCCGCCCUAAAGACCGCGACUCCACCGGCGGGCCGCGCUGAGCUCGAACACGAACACGGGCGGCUGAGGUUGAGCGCCGGUGUCUUAGCACUCGGCCUCCGUCUCCGCCUACGACGCCACCCGGCACUAGAAUAAUGGGGUUCGCUCACCGAUCCAGAGCCCACGACUACCUUCCACGGUCCCGCCGCCUCCACCGGCCGCCGCCGCCCCGGCCCCUACACGUCUAAUUCCCGCGGUUCCUCUCGCCGGUCCGGCGCGUCGUCGUCGUCGACGACGGCUGCCCGUCGCUCGGCCAGCUCUACGGGCGGUGCGGCGACGGCGUGCGGGCGCUUUAGCUCACCAGGCUCGUAAAGAGGAAGAAGUUGAGGUACCCGUGGCCGUGGCCGUGCCUGCCGCACUACCCCGGCCGGUCGCAGCCCUACAGCGCGAGGCUCAGCAGGUCCGGCCUGUCGCAGUGGGUCGUCGUCGCGACGGACCGCCCGUCGUUGCGGCUGCUCUCCCACCUCCUCGAGUGGCAGUCCUUGACGUAGUCGAGACUCCGAGUGGUCGGACGACGGAGACGGCCACCCUCGUGACCGCCGUGCCCCCUCUCCGGGCGGCAAUACUCCCCGGAGACCCCAUUGAAGUGUGCCUACCGCACCUCCUGGCGGCUACGGCGAUCGUCCCUUCGGAACCGCCAGUCGGAACCGUUGCGGUACCCCAGAGUGUUGUAACUACGAAGACCGUUCCCUUACGGUAAACUGGCGCCGCUUUUACCAUUAUGGCUCAAGUUAUACAGUAAACCAUUAGUCGUCGUCGACGUCGUAUAGAACAGAAGUGCCGACUUAGUCUCGCUCGUCGUACAGAACAGAAGUACCGUCUUAGUCUCGCUCGUCGUACAGAACAGAAGUGCCGUCUUAGUCUCGCUCGUUGUACAGGACAGAAGUGACGGCUUAGUCUCGCUCGUAUUACAGGACAGAAGUGCCGGCUUAGUCUCGCUCGUCGUAGAGGGCAGAAGUGCCGUCUUAGUCUCGCUCGUCGUAUAGUACAGAAGUACCGGCUUAGUUUCACNNNNNNNNNNNNNNNNNNNNNCCGACUUAGUGUCACUCGUCUUAUAGGGCAGAAGUGCCGGCUUAGUCUCACUCGACGUAUAGGGCAGAAGUGCCGGCUUAGUCUCGCUCGUCGUAUAGGGCAGAAGUGCCUGCUUUGUCUCGCUCGUCGUACAGGACAGAAGUGCCGGCUUAGUUUCGCUCGUCGUACAGGACAGAAGUGCCGGCUUAGUUUCGCUCGUCGUAUAGGACAGAAGUGCCGGCUUAGUUUUACUUGUCGCCAGACUUUCCCUAUUACCAGACUUUCACUCAUCGAAGAGUUUAUCUUAAUAACUGGUCUACUCCUCAUUCUGAAACUGUGGAAGUAGACCCGAAGUCCCAAGGGGGAAAUUCGGACAUAACUUCCCAUUUUCCCAAUGGAUGGUUCCAGGUGUGCUCCUCUAGGUUCAAGUUCGAUUACGUUCUGGGUCUCGGGGAUACCUAUUCUAGGGAUUCUAAGGAUCGAGUUGUGUACUAAGACACCGGUCUAACCUACCAUGUGAAAAGUCGUCACCACCUUUACAAAGGCUUAGAGUCAUACUCCCUUGUUCGGACUCCCUUGAUUAAUUCGGGCGCGCGGUUCGCUACUCGUUCAAACUCUUUUACGUCAACAAAUUCGUCUAGGAACUAGUACAUCUGUUUAGGGUACGUGUCCCACAUUGGAAUGUCGUAAACGCGGGCAGCAUAAAAUAUUAUAGUAGGGGUUUGGUUCAUUCUAUAUGGCCAAGAAUGUGAUUUGUUCUAAAUAGUUGGGGUCGGUUUGGCCUAUACCGGCGUCUACUACAAAAAUUGUCUUUUGCUACGAAGCUAGUCUUUUGAAACGUGGUUCUCACAUUACCGUUACCUGUAAGUUAGGACUUCAUAGUCUUCCAACCACUUGUUCCAAGACAACGGCAGUCCGCUGGCUAUGUAGGGAAGGCCUGACUGGUGUUUCCCCGGUUGGUUUCACUUCCACGACUAGAUCCACGAAAUCCUGUCCCUUUAAGAUCAACGUGGCAGCCUCCAGCAAGAUUCAUACCGCUUGGAAUGAUACCACCAUUACGUAGAAUACCGGUUGCAAAAGGAUUAAUACCGUUGGUUCUUAGUCAUGAACUUAACUCCUACGAUCUUCUAUCGACCAUGUCUUCGGGCCUUCUCGAGUUAGUUAACUUUCCGUGUAGGGGUAGGUUGUAGAUGUCGGAACCCCAAGAAAAUAAACUCGAGAAAACGACAACACUUUGUACCCUCGACGUAACACGACGUUACAGUCUAGAAGCGGUGGCCUAGGACGGAGGUUAAAAAGAAAGUCUUUCAGGGUUCCUCCGACCGAAGACGGAAACCGAUAACGUAGGACUAGGAAAAAGAGCUGGUUUUCGUUCUCUGUAAGAUCCUACACUGAACUAUUUACUCCCAGCCCUAAAUAGCCACAAUCUAUUCCGUGGUCGACGAUAGUUACUCCUCCUGUGUCUCAGACCAAACAAUGACUUAAAAGACAGAGUUGACUUUCUUCUUUUCCUCUACGUACGACGGUUCAAUAGUCGUCUAGAACGUUCGAACGUCUGACUAUAACAUCUCCGACUCUCUUCUGUGAGCAAAUCCUACCCCAAGUCAAAUCCCCUGUACCUACAUGGUCGUUCAAGAUUACUACACGGUCCAUGAAGUAGUUUACGGGACUCUCCCCGUAGCAACAGUCCAAACGAUUGUGGUGGUCCGUCCAGUCCGUAUAUGCUCCUCUCCCACUACUUCUUAAACGUCGUCGAACUUUUUCGUAUAAUGAGGUGCUCCAGGUGGUAACUGUGUAGACUCUGAUUACAUUAAUUCGCAAGGCUAUUACUACGAAACUCCCAGGCACUUUUGAAAUUGGUGUCCCUACGGCUACGAUACUUACCCGGUUGUCUGGGGGAACCUACGAAAAAACUACCAGAUACGUUUAUACGGGCCGUAUCAUCCAAACUUCAUGCUCCCUAAAACUUCUUACGACUAUAUGAAUUGAGAGGUUUACACUAGACAAGAAAUUCAAAACUGGCACUACUUCUUAUAAAACGACGACGACCCCAAAGUUUCUUUUAAUUUUAUAAGCUUAAGCUACGAGAAAAUUUACUAGCACAACUAUAAGUAAUAGGAUAUCAUCUCUACGGAUCGUUCAGGUUCGAAUCAACACAGACAACCUUGUUGAUAUAUUUCUUGAUGAACCGUAGUUGUCUGAUACUACCGUGACAAGUCGAUACCCUACGUUCGUGACCGGUUCCUAAGUGUGUCAAAUGUCUCGUAGCCUUUUCUCGAACCAGACACUCAAAGAGUCUCCACCUAGGUUGAUUUAACCGUUCACCCUCACUGCUAACAACACACUUUCAAACCUUAUAAUUGGUCUUUUUAUCGCACCUGUGUUAGUCUUUACACCGGUUGCAUACGACACAUGUCAAGAGCGGUAUGAGGAGAGCAUACAAUCGGAAACCGAGUCGACUAAUGUUCUGUAUGACAAUACUAGACUCCGUAUGUUCCUAGGGGACCACAUGGUAAAGACCUGUGCCCUUUCGACAGUCGAUACAUUCUAAGAACCUACGUCUUUGCGAAUAUAGACGGAGUUGACUGUUAUGGAACUUCUAUACCCUAGAGUUGGCCUGAUUAGGAUUACCUAAUAGAUGAUUACGAACGUCAGACUGAAACUCACCAGUAUGGUUACUCUUCUUAAAACAUCCGAAUAGGCAAGUGCUACCUAUGUAUUGCACGCCAAGACUUUUGUUACUUCAUAUAAGAAUGAUAUUUUCGAAAGGGUACGGUUAUUGAAGAGUGUUCAAACCAAGUUAACUAGGUUAUUGGCCUGUUCUCUGGUUACUACUAUUAGUCGUCAAACACAGCUCGCAAACGACCUCUCCUUCCAGCUUAUACCACCACCGGCGGUUGAGAUCACCUUCGUAGUUUCAGGAACUCGAACAAACUUACUAGACAACUCGUUCAAUGUCCUACUCUUAUAGACUUACAGGCACUAACGGUACAAAGAAACCACUGGUAUACAAACGAGUUCGCAAGAAGGAACGGUUGUUUGUUGAUACGUAGUUGUGUAUAGCUCCGGCCCGUUGUUUCGCCACCUUUGUGUGAACACGUGAAGUUCGUUGUAUGUUGGGACCGGCAACUACAAACGAACUUUGAGGGUUACUUCACACGUUGACCUCCCUCACUUUCCGGAGCCGAUGAGACUUUCCAUUUGAAACAUUCCGCGAAACUGUAUCAUGAUCAGUCGUAAAGUCGCUCCCGGAUCCCGAUCCAAAGACAUGUCUAAAUACCCGAAGCUCCCGGCACAUAAAUGAAAACUCGAUCUCGGAAUGUACGAUACAAGCGGGCUAGGCGUAGAGUGCCCUUAGCUGCGUCAAAACUACACGUUGCUGAUUGUCAGAUCAUACUGCCAGUUUCGUUUUGACGCCUUCCACUGUAGCAACAAACUUCCUCAAUUAGUGCGUAGGACUAGACACGCUCACUACGUUGCUCCCAAACAGAUACGGAUAAUAAAAAACAUCAGGGGAAUAAACUUACUUAUCUCAUUAUAUAUACUUAUAUAUACUAAUGACAUAUAUUGUUAUAUGGAAGGGCUCAAGUCUUUAAGGGCGCAGCUUCCCUUCUUUUUGCUUACUUG
RNAcentral lists this ribosomal RNA (4900 nucleotides) under Triticum aestivum (bread wheat). Its description in RNAcentral is "partial small subunit ribosomal RNA". The record is from RNAcentral. Lineage: Eukaryota; Viridiplantae; Streptophyta; Magnoliopsida; Poales; Poaceae.